RNAcentral lists this small RNA (109 nucleotides) under Citrobacter freundii. RNAcentral describes it as "partial RtT sRNA". It matches the Rfam family "RtT RNA", at positions 24 to 130 of the family's 130-position model. Rfam says of the family: This family represents a bacterial cis-regulatory element known as RtT RNA. The exact function of RtT is unknown although it is thought that it may be involved in changing the cellular response in relation to amino acid starvation. The record is from RNAcentral. Lineage: Bacteria; Pseudomonadati; Pseudomonadota; Gammaproteobacteria; Enterobacterales; Enterobacteriaceae.
GAGAAGCUUCGACCAGGGUUCGAUUCGAGCGUUAGCGAGAAAGCGUUGCCGCAGGCAACGACCCGAAGGGCGAAGCGCGCAGCGCUGAGUAAUCCUUCCCCCACCACCA